UACGUAGGGUGCAAGCGUUGUCCGGAAUCAUUGGGCGUAAAGAGCGUGUAGGCGGCUCGAUCAGUCCGCUGUAAAAGUCCAGGGCUCAACCCUGGGAUGCCGGUGGAUACUGUCGAGCUAGAGUCCGGAAGAGGCGAGUGGAAUUCCUGGUGUAGCGGUGAAAUGCGCAGAUAUCAGGAGGAACACCAAUGGCGAAGGCAGCUCGCUGGGACGGUAUUGACGCUGAGACGCGAAAGCGUGGGGAGCAAACAGG
Molecule: ribosomal RNA, 253 nt
Filed under: uncultured bacterium
Lineage: Bacteria
Description: partial 16S ribosomal RNA
Rfam family: Bacterial small subunit ribosomal RNA
Source: RNAcentral